Molecule: ribosomal RNA, 467 nt
Filed under: uncultured bacterium
Lineage: Bacteria
Description: partial 16S ribosomal RNA
Rfam family: Bacterial small subunit ribosomal RNA
Source: RNAcentral
GACGAACGCUGGCGGCGUGCUUAACACAUGCAAGUCGAACGGAAAGGCCCUGCUUUUGUGGGGUGCUCGAGUGGCGAACGGGUGAGUAACACGUGAGUAACCUGCCCUUGACUUUGGGAUAACUUCAGGAAACUGGGGCUAAUACCGGAUAGGAGCUCCUGCUGCAUGGUGGGGGUUGGAAAGUUUCGGCGGUUGGGAUGGACUCGCGGCUUAUCAGCUUGUUGGUGGGGUAGUGGCUUACCAAGGCUUUGACGGGUAGCCGGCCUGAGAGGGUGACCGGCCACAUUGGGACUGAGAUACGCCCCAGACUCCAACGGGAGGCAGCAGUGGGGAAUAUUGCACAAUGGGCGGAAGCCUGAUGCAGCAACGCCGCGUGCGGGAUGACGGCCUUCGGGUUGUAAACAGCUUUCGCCUGUGACGAAGCGUGAGUGACGGUAAUGAGUAAAGAAGCACCGGCUAACUACGUG